AGUGAACGCUGGCGGUAGGCCUAACACAUGCAAGUCGAACGGCAGCACAGUAAGAGCUUGCUCUUACGGGUGGCGAGUGGCGGACGGGUGAGGAAUACAUCGGAAUCUACUUUUUCGUGGGGGAUAACGUAGGGAAACUUACGCUAAUACCGCAUACGACCUACGGGUGAAAGCAGGGGAUCUUCGGACCUUGCGCGGUUGAAUGAGCCGAUGUCGGAUUAGCUAGUUGGCGGGGUAAAGGCCCACCAAGGCGACGAUCCGUAGCUGGUCUGAGAGGAUGAUCAGCCACACUGGAACUGAGACACGGUCCAGACUCCUACGGGAGGCAGCAGUGGGGAAUAUUGGACAAUGGGCGAAAGCCUGAUCCAGCCAUACCGAGUGGGUGAAGAAGGCCUUCGGGUUGUAAAGCCCUUUUGUUGGGAAAGAAAAGCAGCAGGUUAAUACCCCGCUGUUCUGACGGUACCCAAAGAAUAAGCACCGGCUAACUUCGUG
This 492-nucleotide ribosomal RNA is filed under the name uncultured bacterium. RNAcentral's name for it is "partial 16S ribosomal RNA". It matches the Rfam family "Bacterial small subunit ribosomal RNA", at positions 29 to 507 of the family's 1533-position model. The record is from RNAcentral.